This 503-nucleotide ribosomal RNA is filed under the name uncultured bacterium. RNAcentral's name for it is "partial 16S ribosomal RNA". It matches the Rfam family "Bacterial small subunit ribosomal RNA", at positions 30 to 523 of the family's 1533-position model. The record is from RNAcentral.
AUUGAACGCUGGCGGCAGGCUUAACACAUGCUAGUCGAGCGGGGUGAUGGUGCUUGCACUAUCACUUAGCGGCGGGCGGGUGAGUAAUGCUUAGGAAUCUGCCUAUUAGUGGGGGACAACAUCUCGAAAGGGAUGCUAAUACCGCAUACGCCCUACGGGAGAAAGCAGGGGAUCACUUGUGACCUUGCGCUAAUAGAUGAGCCUAAGUCGGAUUAGCUAGUUGGUGGGGUAAAGGCCUACCAAGGCGACGAUCUGUAGCGGGUCUGAGAGGAUGAUCCGCCACACUGGGACUGAGACACGGCCCAGACUCCUACGGGAGGCAGCAGUGGGGAAUAUUGGACAAUGGGGGGAACCCUGAUCCAGCCAUGCCGCGUGUGUGAAGAAGGCCUUAUGGUUGUAAAGCACUUUAAGCGAGGAGGAGGCUCUUUUGGUUAAUACCCAAGAUGAGUGGACGUUACUCGCAGAAUAAGCACCGGCUAACUCUGUGCCAGCCGCCGCCGUAA